GCCUACUGACCAGGGAAAGCUCAGUCGGUAGAGCAUGAGACUCUUCAUCUCAGGGUUGUGGUUCGAGCCCUACAUUGGGCA
Molecule: non-coding RNA, 81 nt
Organism: Podarcis lilfordi (Lilford's wall lizard)
Lineage: Eukaryota; Metazoa; Chordata; Lepidosauria; Squamata; Lacertidae
Source: the annotation of a GenBank genome assembly